This 253-nucleotide ribosomal RNA is filed under the name uncultured bacterium. RNAcentral's name for it is "partial 16S ribosomal RNA". It matches the Rfam family "Bacterial small subunit ribosomal RNA", at positions 524 to 776 of the family's 1533-position model. The record is from RNAcentral.
UACAGAGGGGGCAAGCGUUGUUCGGAAUUACUGGGCGUAAAGGGCGCGUAGGCGGCGUGCUAAGUCGAACGUGAAAUCCCCGGGCUCAACCCGGGAACUGCGUCCGAGACUGGCAUGCUUGAAUCCGGGAGAGGGAUGUGGAAUUCCAGGUGUAGCGGUGAAAUGCGUAGAUAUCUGGAGGAACAUCGGUGGCGAAGGCGGCAUCCUGGACCGGUAUUGACGCUGAGGCGCGAAAGCUAGGGGAGCGAACGGG